This 200-nucleotide ribosomal RNA is filed under the name uncultured bacterium. RNAcentral describes it as "partial 16S ribosomal RNA". It matches the Rfam family "Bacterial small subunit ribosomal RNA", at positions 8 to 217 of the family's 1533-position model. The record is from RNAcentral.
AGAGUUUGAUCCUGGCUCAGGACUAACGCUGGCGGCGUGCCUAACACAUGCAAGUCGAACGAGGUAGCAAUACCUAGUGGCAGACGGGUGAGUAACACGUAGUCAAUCUACCUCUUAGUGGGGGAUAACUAGCCGAAAGGUUAGCUAAUACCGCAUACGAUCGUUGAGCGGCAUCGCUUAACGAUGAAAGGAGCAAUCCG